Molecule: ribosomal RNA, 431 nt
Filed under: uncultured bacterium
Lineage: Bacteria
Description: partial 16S ribosomal RNA
Rfam family: Bacterial small subunit ribosomal RNA
Source: RNAcentral
AACGAACGCUGGCGGCAGGCUUAACACAUGCAAGUCGAGCGCCCCGCAAGGGGAGCGGCAGACGGGUGAGUACCGCGUGGGAACGUACCCUUUGGUUCGUAACAACUCCGGGAAACUGGAGCUAGUACCGGAUAAGCCCUAACGCGGAAAGAUUUAUCGCCGAAGGUUCGGCCCGAGUCUGAUUAGCUAGUUGGUGAGGUAACGGCUCACCAAGGCGACGAUCAGUAGCUGGUCAGAGAGGAUGAGCAGCCACACUGGGACUGAGACACGGCCCAGAAUACUACGGGAGGGAGGAGUGGGGAAUAUAGGAAAAUGGGGGGAAGGAUGAUCCAGCCAUGACGGGUGAGUGAUGAAGGCUUGAGGGAUGGAAAGCAAUUUUGUCCGGGAAGAUAAUGACUUUACCGGAAGAAUAAGCCCCGGCUAACUUCGUG